AUGAACGCUGGCGGCGUGCCUAAUACAUGCCAGUCGAGCGAACAGACGAGGAGCUUGCUCCUUUGACGUUAGCGGCGGACGGGUGAGUAACACGUGGAUAACCUACCUAUAAGACUGGGAUAACUUCGGGAAACCGGAGCUAAUACCGGAUAACAUGUUGAACCGCAUGGUUCAACAGUGAAAGACGGUCUUGCUGUCACUUAUAGAUGGAUCCGCGCCGCAUUAGCUAGUUGGUAAGGUAACGGCUUACCAAGGCAACGAUGCGUAGCCGACCUGAGAGGGUGAUCGGCCACACUGGAACUGAGACACGGUCCAGACUCCUACGGGAGGCAGCAGUAGGGAAUCUUCCGCAAUGGGCGAAAGCCUGACGGAGCAACGCCGCGUGAGUGAAGAAGGUCUUCGGAUCGUAAAACUCUGUUAUUAGGGAAGAACAAAUGUGUAAGUAACUAUGCACGUCUUGACGGUACCUAAUCAGAAAGCCACGGCUAACUACGUG
This 496-nucleotide ribosomal RNA is filed under the name uncultured bacterium. RNAcentral describes it as "partial 16S ribosomal RNA". It matches the Rfam family "Bacterial small subunit ribosomal RNA", at positions 29 to 507 of the family's 1533-position model. The record is from RNAcentral.